AUUGAACGCUGGCGGCAUGCUUUACACAUGCAAGUCGAACGGUAAUAGGCCGCGAGGUGCUGACGAGUGGCGAACGGGUGAGUAAUGCAUCGGAACGUGCCCAGUCGUGGGGGAUAACUACUCGAAAGAGUAGCUAAUACCUCAUACGAUCUAUGGAUGAAAGCGGGGGACCGUAAGGCCUCGCGCGAUUUGAGCGGCCGAUGUCAGAUUAGGUAGUUGGUGGGGUAAAGGCUCACCAAGCCAACGAUCCGUAGCUGGUCUGAGAGGACGACCAGCCACACUGGGACUGAGACACGGCCCAGACUCCUACGGGAGGCAGCAGUGGGGAAUUUUGGACAAUGGGCGCAAGCCUGAUCCAGCAAUGCCGCGUGCAGGAAGAAGGCCUUCGGGUUGUAAACUGCUUUUGUACGGAACGAAACGGCUCUGGUUAAUACCCGGGGCUAAUGACGGUACCGUAAGAAUAAGCACCGGCUAACUACGUG
RNAcentral lists this ribosomal RNA (482 nucleotides) under uncultured bacterium. Its description in RNAcentral is "partial 16S ribosomal RNA". It matches the Rfam family "Bacterial small subunit ribosomal RNA", at positions 30 to 507 of the family's 1533-position model. The record is from RNAcentral.